Molecule: ribosomal RNA, 461 nt
Filed under: uncultured soil bacterium
Lineage: Bacteria
Description: bacterial SSU rRNA
Rfam family: Bacterial small subunit ribosomal RNA
Source: RNAcentral
AGAUUGAACGCUGGCGGCAUGCUUUACACAUGCAAGUCGAACGGCAGCGCGGGGCAACCUGGCGGCGAGUGGCGAACGGGUGAGUAAUAUAUCGGAACGUACCCAAGAGUGGGGGAUAACGUAGCGAAAGUUACGCUAAUACCGCAUACGAUCUAAGGAUGAAAGCAGGGGACCGCAAGGCCUUGUGCUCCUGGAGCGGCCGAUAUCUGAUUAGCUAGUUGGUAGGGUAAAGGCCUACCAAGGCUACGAUCAGUAGCUGGUCUGAGAGGACGACCAGCCACACUGGAACUGAGACACGGUCCAGACUCCUACGGGAGCAGCAGUGGGAAUUUGGACAAGUGGCGCAAGCCUGAUCCAGCAAUGCCGCGUGAGUGAAGAAGGCCUUGGUUGUAAGCUCUUUGUCGAGGUAAGAACGGUAGAGAGACUAAUAUCUCUCGCUAAUGACGUACUAGAAGAAUAAG